UGCCUCUUGGACUGGGACAACUGUUGGAAACGACAGCUAAUACCGGAUAUUAUGAGAUUCUCGCAUGAGAAACUUAUGAAAGCUAUAUGCGCCAAGAGAGAGCCUUGCGUUCCAUUAGCUAGUUGGUGGGGUAACGGCCCACCAAGGCGACGAUGGAUAGCCGGCCUGAGAGGGUGAACGGCCACAAGGGGACUGAGACACGGCCCUUACUCCUACGGGAGGCAGCAGUGGGGAAUAUUGGACAAUGGGCCACAAGCCUGAUCCAGCAAUUCUGUGUGCACGAUGAAGGUCUUCGGAUUGUAAAGUGCUUUCAGUUGGGAAGAAGAAAGUGACGGUACCAACAGAAGAAGCGACGGCUAAAUACGUGCCAGCAGCCGCGGUAAUACGUAUGUCGCAAGCGUUAUCCGGAUUUAUUGGGCGUAAAGCGCGUCUAGGCGGAAAAAUAAGUCUGAUGUUAAAAUGCGGGGCUCAACUCCGUAUUGCGUUGGAAACUGUUUUUCUAGAGUACUGGAGAGGUGGGCGGAACUACAAGUGUAGAGGUGAAAUUCGUAGAUAUUUGUAGGAAUGCCGAUGGAGAAGUCAGCUCACUGGACAGAUACUGACGCUGAAGCGCGAAAGCGUGGGGAGCAAACAGG
This 635-nucleotide ribosomal RNA is filed under the name uncultured bacterium. RNAcentral's name for it is "bacterial SSU rRNA". It matches the Rfam family "Bacterial small subunit ribosomal RNA", at positions 127 to 776 of the family's 1533-position model. The record is from RNAcentral.